GCAAUGAAUAAACAGUCGCAUUUUGGGACAAGACCCUUCUUCAGGACUGGAAACACGAUGCCAGAAUAAGGAGGCAGGAAGAGGACAAGCAAGAAGGAAUAGUAACCAGAUCAGAGGGUCACAGAGACUCAGCAAAACAAAGAUCUGGGAAUUCAGAUUCGCUUCCACCUUCAUAUUGGAGGUGAAGGACCUACUGAAUUUGACCUUCAGGCACACUGAGGUUUCGGAAUACAACCACCAGAGAAAUGCAGGCAGAAAUCAUGAAGCUGCUCUCAUUGGAAAGGAAGGACAGCAUACAAUCCCUACUGCACUGCAGGCCAAAUUAACAGGGCUUCGUGUGAGGCCCCCAUCCAACCGCAUCCAAGAUACAGAACAGCAGACAUAAUGGAAAUAGCUUCCUUCUAGUAUCAAAGCCUUUGCUCCUUGGGUUCCUGCCAUUCUAAGAUGGGGCCAGAAAGAGAAAUGCAGUUGAGAAUGGGUGGGAAACUUUUAUGGGGAGACUACUGGGGAGGUUGACUGUUAGUGGGCAACUGAAACUUUGGUAUCAUCCAUUGUUGGCCGUGGAGUUGGGAAUGCAGUCAAUAAGACAGAUGAAAAUGUCACUUAUAAAAAAAAACACUGCCUUGAAAAAAACUUGGUAUUUCAGGAAAAGGUCAGGCCUCUUUAAACUGACAUCCAACUGGAGAACACACUGUUUCACAAGUAAUCUCAACAAUACAUGGCUGUUCACUGCACAGGCCCAGUGGUUUUCAUUUCUGCAGAUUCGAAUUUAUUACAAUAUUGAAACAUACAGUGAAAUGCAUCAUUUAUGUUAACAACCAACACACCCAAGGUUACGUUGGGGGCAGCCCGCAAAUACCACCGCACAUUCUGAUGCCAACAAAGCAUGUCUCAGUAGAUCAGCAGAAACAGAAUACAACAGGUGACAAAACAGCAAAAGAAACACAUGUGGGAGGUACCAGAAGCGCAUUACUUGUGGUUAAAGUAAUUCAUUGCAGGCAACAAUCAGUACAAGAGAGUUACUUGUGUGCUAAAUAUAGCAUUUUGAUAUUUUUGGGGCUGUGUACUGUUACGCCUGCAGCCCCCUCCUUUUUGAGAUUCGCAGGAUCACUAUUGAUUUGGGUCAGGAGAUCCAGGAAAUGAGAGACGUUUGGAAUGUCUUGACCACCACCCCCCCCCCCCCCGGCGAUAUAAAGCUAUGGGACACGGCCAUUGUCUCUUGGAGACAGACUUGUGUAUUACAAUACUGUGCUUCGUGGAAGCCAUCAGGCAAAGUGGGCUGGUUGAGGGAGGGAUUGCAUCACCCCCAACCUGAUUGACAUCUGAGACCCUGUGAGUCAGGAUAAAAGAGGGUCUGUGGGAACAGCCCCUCAGAUGCACCAGAAGAAACGCUAGCGAUCCUGUAAUAGCGGAAGCCGGUGGGGAGGUCAGGUGCGUUCAGUUCCAUUUGCCCUGGAACCGGUGUCCUUUCCCACGGAAGAACGGUUUUUAGCUAACAACGGGGAAAUCAACUCCCAAAGACUUUCGAAGGAUUGACAUCAUAAAAGGAAUUGGCAAGUUUUAACCCGUCUUUCUCUCCAACCAAAACGCUGCAGCUUGAAUGAACUAACAGUGACUUUUAUAUUUCCAUCGGACAAUCCAUUAUCCCCUAGACAACGAUGGAGCUAUUUCUUAUUGAUUCUUAUUAUACCCACGCUUUUAGAUUUAGUAUUGACGACGUAUAUUAUCUGUAUGUUUGCACUGAUAUUAUUUUGUGUAUUUUUAUCAAUAAAUACUGUUAAAAUAGUACCAUCAGACUUCAACGGACCUCUCUAUCUUUGCUGGUAAGUGACCCAGUUACUGGGUUCGUAACAGCACUCAAUAAAAAACAUGAUAAUGGCCUUU
Long non-coding RNA from Hypanus sabinus (Atlantic stingray), 1884 nucleotides. RefSeq lists it as uncharacterized. The transcript has 4 exons. The record is from RefSeq and is a predicted model, not a curated record. Lineage: Eukaryota; Metazoa; Chordata; Chondrichthyes; Myliobatiformes; Dasyatidae.